ACUAAAUAACCUCUUAUAACACUUAAAUAAACACAUAAACACAUAAUCUAUCUUAGCAUACAAGAUUAAACUUUGGUUAAGGUUUAUACCUCUCUUGAACAAACUUUGAAUCUUUGCUUCCUAAUCUAUUCUUGAUGCGUUAGGGAUUUAGUUAGGAACUGAAAUACUUAUCAAUUUCGUGGCUUUAGAGAGAGAAGGACUUGGUUGAGUGUUUGAGUACAAAUGAGUUUGGUUUUUGAUGUUUCUCUCUCUCUCUCUCUCUUUAAUCUAUCUAAUCUUUGAUGCAAUGAAUUUAUAAGUUG
This 302-nucleotide long non-coding RNA is filed under the name Panax ginseng (ginseng). RNAcentral's name for it is "long non-coding RNA (PGIN_LNC003637)". Lineage: Eukaryota; Viridiplantae; Streptophyta; Magnoliopsida; Apiales; Araliaceae. The record is from RNAcentral.